Molecule: transfer RNA, 62 nt
Filed under: Podarcis lilfordi (Lilford's wall lizard)
Lineage: Eukaryota; Metazoa; Chordata; Lepidosauria; Squamata; Lacertidae
Description: tRNA.Lys
Source: RNAcentral
GAUAGCUCAGUUGGUAAAGCAUGAGACUCUUAAUCUCAGGGUCAUGGGUUCGAGUUGGGGCA